GACGAACGCUGGCGGCGUGCUUAACACAUGCAAGUCGAACGAAGAGCGAUGGAAGCUUGCUUCUAUCAAUCUUAGUGGCGAACGGGUGAGUAACGCGUAAUCAACCUGCCCUUCAGAGGGGGACAACAGUUGGAAACGACUGCUAAUACCGCAUACGAUCUAAUCUCGGCAUCGAGGAUAGAUGAAAGGUGGCCUCUACAUGUAAGCUAUCACUGAAGGAGGGGAUUGCGUCUGAUUAGCUAGUUGGAGGGGUAACGGCCCACCAAGGCGAUGAUCAGUAGCCGGUCUGAGAGGAUGAACGGCCACAUUGGGACUGAGACACGGCCCGGACUCCUACGGGAGGCAGCAGUGGGGAAUCUUCCGCAAUGGACGAAAGUCUGACGGAGCAACGCCGCGUGAGUGAUGACGGCCUUCGGGUUGUAAAGCUCUGUUAAUCGGGACGAAAGGCCUUCUUGCGAAUAGGGAGAAGGAUUGACGGUACCGGAAGAGAAAGCCACGGCUAACUACGUG
Molecule: ribosomal RNA, 510 nt
Filed under: uncultured bacterium
Lineage: Bacteria
Description: partial 16S ribosomal RNA
Rfam family: Bacterial small subunit ribosomal RNA
Source: RNAcentral